Molecule: ribosomal RNA, 460 nt
Filed under: uncultured bacterium
Lineage: Bacteria
Description: partial 16S ribosomal RNA
Rfam family: Bacterial small subunit ribosomal RNA
Source: RNAcentral
CCUACGGGGGGCAGCAGUGAGGAAUAUUGGUCAAUGGGCGCGAGCCUGAACCAGCCAAGUCGCGUGAAGGAUGACUGCCCUACGGGUUGUAAACUUCUUUUAUAAGGGGAUAAAGUCAGGCACGCGUGCCUGUUUGUAUGUACUUUAUGAAUAAGGAUCGGCUAACUCCGUGCCAGCAGCCGCGGUAAUACGGAGGAUCCGAGCGUUAUCCGGAUUUAUUGGGUUUAAAGGGAGCGUAGGUGGGUUGUUAAGUCAGUUGUGAAAGUUUGAGGCUCAACCGUAAAAGUGCAAUUGAUACUGGCAGUCUUGAGUACAGUUGAGGUAUGCGGAAUGCGUGGUGUAGCGGUGAAAUGCUUAGAUAUCACGAAGAACUCCGAUUGCGAAGGCAGCUUACUAACCUGCCACUGACAUUGAGGCUCGAAAGUGUGGGUAUCAAACAGGAUUAGAUACCCCAGUAGUC